GAUGAACGCUGGCGGCGUGCCUAACACAUGCAAGUCGAGCGAACAGACGAGGAGCUUGCUCCUCUGACGUGAGCGGCGCACGGGUGAGUAACAUGUGGAGAACCUACCUAUAUGACUGGGAUAACUUCGGGAAACCGGAGCUUAUACCGGAUAAUAUCUUGAAGCGCAUGGUUGAAUAGUGAAAGACGGUGUUGCUGUCACUUAUCGAUGGAUCCCCGCCGCAUUAGCUAGUUGGGAGGGUAACGGCUUACCAAGGCAACGAUGCGUAGCCGACCUGAGAGGGUGAUCGGCCACACUGGAACUGAGACACGGUCCAGACUCCUACGGGAGGCAGCAGUAGGGAAUCUUCGGCAAUGGGCGAAAGCUUGACGCAGCAACGCCGCGUGAGUGAUGAAGGUCUUCGGAUCGUAAAACUCUGUUAUUAGGGAAGAACAGCUGUCUAAGUAAAUAUGGCCGUCUUGACGGUACCUAAUCAAAAAGCACCGGCUAACUACGUG
RNAcentral lists this ribosomal RNA (497 nucleotides) under uncultured bacterium. RNAcentral describes it as "partial 16S ribosomal RNA". It matches the Rfam family "Bacterial small subunit ribosomal RNA", at positions 28 to 507 of the family's 1533-position model. The record is from RNAcentral.